CUAGGCAUGAUUAUUCAUAUAAUUAUGAAGUAUUAAGAGGGAAAUAAUGGAUUAAUAUAAUUAAGAGAAGGUUAGUUGGAAUAGAAAGAUGUUGGUUAGAAGCAAACCAAAUGGCAAGGUGGUAAUUUUGGUUUAGUUGAGGGGCACAUUGGACCUUAACCUUAUAUUGCAUGACAUGUGAUUGGUUGGUAGAGAUACACCAUUCCAAAUUCAGAAUUUUGUGAACGAGAAGUGGAGAGAGAAGUGGAAGAGGUCUUGCACCUCAUUUCAAGUUCCAUUUUCGUAUUCUAUGGACAGCUCUCACUAAUCUGAUCAUAACUCUCUGCUCACAACUCCGAUUCAGAAAAACGAGUUUGAAGUUGGAAGGUCCAUGCUGAAUGUGUGUCAAAGAUUGGUUACGGGUUUGAUCAUGUUAGAGGUGAAGUUUUGGCAUCAAUGGAAGUUCAAUGGCUGCAUGAUCAUCAUCCUAAUCUCUCUAAAUCUAAGGUGCGGUUUAGUAGCAUUUGGUCAGUAGCAGGUUUGGACUGAAGACUUGGAAGUGGUGAUGGCUCGGAGACCUCGUCAGAUCUCAUUCUCCGCUGUGCAGAUCCAUUGAAGACACGUGUUUUGUAAUUCUUAUUAGGAUUUCAUGUUGUAUUUUAUAUGGAUCUUUCUAUAACUUUAGCUUUUGUAUGUACUCAAUAUCAAUUUAUAACGUUUCAUGCAUAAUAUACUAGUCAGUUAUGUAUAGGGUGUUACAAUUGGUAUCAGAGCAGGUCGAUUCUCGGUCGAGCCAAGAGACAUCACUAGCAAUUCCUUUCUUCCUCACAUGUGCGUGUUGCUAGCCUGAUUUUACUGAUAUCUCAUUAAUUUUUUGAACUUGAUCAACUCAUCGACUCAGUGUGAGACAGUAGAAUUACGGAAGAGCCGCCAUGAGGACUCGUAAACUUGUAAGUGUCGUGAACCCAAGUAGCAAGGAUUAGUUGGGUGGUGAAUUGUAUAUGGAAUCUGGAUUUAUUGGAUGACGUAAGUAGAUGGGAUAUUGGAGUUGUCAUACUUAAGAGGAGCGUUUGACGCAAAGAAGUAAUACCCGAACAGUCAAGGUGUGGAUCGAGACAACUAGAACCCCUAAGAUUUUGACUGGACGGAGUGCAACUUUCUCUAAGUCUUGGUAAUAGCAAGGGAAAUCCAAAUAGGAUUGAGUAGGAGCCUUGUAAGUGAGAUUCUCCGAAGGUGUUGAGCUAGGGAUUAGUAGGAUUCAGUACCGAGGAUGUUGCCGGUGUUAGGUGUGACUGAUGAGCCGAUAGGACAUAAUAACCUUUGGAAGUGCGGACACAGAAGUCAGACCUUUUUGAUUAGGCUGGUACGAACAGUAAUUGGAUGGGUGAAGUAUUAGAUCCUAAUUUAACUCGAAGUACCCUAAGCGAGAGUAGUUACCUAGUAAAUGUUGGUGGAAGGUACGAGUGUGGCAACUUACGAUUGGGCGAGGUUUGAAUACCCAGUCGAUAGAAGAGGAUAUGUAUUUUUGUUCUUAUCAUUUUAUAUUUAAGUUCUAGAACUACGCUAGAUGGAAUAUGAAAUGAUGUAGAAGCGUGAAAUGCAGUAACCUAAUUUCUUGUUAGUUGUUGUUCGUCUGACCCCGAGUGAAUCCAUAGAACUACGCUUGGCGUUGGGUGUUCAGGCGAGUAAGAACUAAGAUCUAUCUGGACUGAAUUAUCCUUGGAAUCUCAUGCAUGCGUGGGACGAGUGGGUACGCGCACUGCAUGGUAAUCCGAAGUUGAACUUCAAAUCUUCAUGCUUGGCGUUUUGGCUUUCCGAGUAAGUAACUUUGAUGUGUAGCACUCUCAGGUUUUAGCAUCCUAAGGAGUGUGAUUCGAAGGACUUGAGGAACGAUGAACCUAUUGGAGGUCUGUUCAGACACUUAUCGGUUGUGACUUUAGGAUACGUGUGGAGAUCGUUAUACGCCACAGAGGUAGGUUACCUGGAUACAUGGCCUCGGAGUUGGACCACCAUGUUGGUACUACCAGACGGGUAUAAUGCCACAGUAUCACUAUCGUGCACAAGAUGCGUGAGUCAUCCUUUUUGCGACAUGUGUGGGACAAAGGUGAUCUGAAGCUCAAGGUAGAAUUUUGAUUUGGCACUCGUGAGACACAGAUCUAGACUCUCAUAAGGUAUGUGGGAUAAGGAUCCAUAUGUCUCACUCGAUAGUAUAGGAAUAACUAGACAGGCGAUGGUGAGAUGGAUCAAGAUCCAAUACUAUACUUAUGGAGACUCUUAGUGAUCAUGAUCGCGUGAGUUAGUAUCAGAUUGUACCUUGGGGACGUUCUCGUUUCGUGACGUGUUAAGUUGGCAAUUCUACAUGAGUGUCUAUAGUGAGACUCAUGUGCGGUCAUGAUAUCCUGGUCAGCAUAGUGAGUGGCUAUCAUGUAUCAUUGGCAACCGGUGAUGGAAUAUGCGAAUUGCAUCUUGGACUAGUUUGAUAUGUGACGUAUCUGGUAGAGUGUCUGUAGAUACUCUGAGUGAAGAAAUGUCAAUCUUGGUAAAGCAUAGACAUUUUGGUUUGAGAACUUCUGAGGAGUCUAUAAGAGAGAUGUUCGAAAUACAAAGUGCAAUUUCUUGCAUUGUGGCUACACUCAGACCGUUGGGAGCACUGCAAUGAAGGAUGCAACCGUCGAGGAAGUCAGUUUAGUGUCUGAUUCAGAGGUGGAACAGACAUUAGAUGACUGUGUGAAUGGAGUGUGGCUAUGGGAGGAUUGUUAUAUCAGUAAGUCGCACGAGUUAUCAGAGGUGAUACUACGCUAAGAGAAUGAAGCUGUUUGGUUGGGAAGAGGCGAUGUUAAAUUGAUAGAGUUAUAGUAAGCUGCAUACGUUAUGAAGGAUUCGUUAUACCGGCUAAGCAGCCAGACUUGUUGGAAGGGGUAAAACAUAGCAGUUGUACGUUGUGGAAAUCAGUUACAAGGACAAAACCUCUAAGUCAGUGAGUAUUUGGGUUUCAAUGUCCUGAGAUCGAAACGUGUGCCUAAGUUGUGGUAGAUGAACUAAUAUGGAAUGGCAGAGUAAGUAGAAACUUAAUUCUGGAGAGUAUGCAACUUUGAGGAGUAGUAGUCGACGAUGGAUGUAUAUGGAGUUCUGGCACGUGUUGCAAUUGGACAACUGUAGAUAAGCAAUUAUUGUGUAUUAAUGGAAACUAAGUGAAUUAUGGAUAUAACGUGACUCAGAGGAUUUCAAGGUGUGUGACUUGUUGGAAUCAGAGUAGCGCAACAGAUCAAGAAAGAAUCAGAUAAGUCUGAGGUAGGAACGAACGAACUAUUGGUAGGAUUUUAUGUUGGGAUGAAAGUAUCUUCCUAAGAGAAAUUGUCGAAGCAGUGUUUCGUUCAUUCCAGUCUCUCGAGGAUCCACCAUAAAACUCAAGAGGUGUUGUCAAUGGGCCAGCUGGGGAACACAUUUGCUGGAUGGCAUGUUGUCCGAUGUUCGUAGAGAUCAUCAGUUGAGCUUGUAAAUCACAAGGGUUGGACAUAGUAUCGUGACUGUGGAAAUGUUGAAGGCUAGAGAGGAAAUUCAGUUGGCGUAAGUUCUUUGUGGUUAUGCCUUGUGUACUAUGAUUGUACAGGAAGACUGGUACAAUGGUUACAGGUCAGUUGUUGAAUUUUGCCUCUUAUCAGUAGAAUCUUAUGUGAGGUUGUCGAAUGUCAAGGCUAUAGUUGCAAGAUGAUUAUACCUUCGCGGUUUACGGUGACAGCUGUUAUGUCUAAAUUGGAGUAAGGGUUAAAGUAAGGAGAUUCAGUUGUAUAAGUAAAGGUAAAUUUGGGACAAUCAUCCUAAGACUUUGGGAACCAGAGGUUAAGACCAAGGAAUUUGGAGAUCACCUAAUGACAUUGUAUGGACUCGAGUGGAGAAUAACUUGAAGUGUUAUCGCAGAAGCGACGUUGUGGCGGUAAUCCUCAAGUGGGAAGUAAUUCAAGGAGCUGAGUGAAUCAGUAAUGUUUGUUGAACGAGGGUGAACACACCAAAUAAUGAAGCGAAGGAUAUCCGACAUGAGUGGGUUAUUAGAGUUUUUGAAGUUUUGGAGAUUCAGUGCAGAGCAGUGAAGGUCAAGGACCCUGGAAGGAUCUUUCCCCAGAUAUGUCAAGACGAAGUAUCUGAAUAGACGUGUUGCUUGAGAGUUAAGGUUCUAAUCAUGUAUAGUGGGACGCAAGUAUUUUUAGCAGAUUAUGUUUCUACGUAUGGAAUGACCCUCAGGCAGAGUAGUGAAGCUACCUAAAGGAGAAAUGUAAGUAACAUUUCGUCCCUUGUUGGGAUAAUUUGGAAAGGUUAUUUCCCUGGUGAUCAGAUAGAAUUCGAGGACGAAUUCAAUUUAAGGGGGGGAGAAUGUAAUACCCCAUAUUAUUCUAGGCAUGAUUAUUCAUAUAAUUAUGAAGUAUUAAGAGGGAAAUAAUGGAUUAAUAUAAUUAAGAGAAGGUUAGUUGGAAUAGAAAGAUGUUGGUUAGAAGCAAACCAAAUGGCAAGGUGGUAAUUUUGGUUUAGUUGAGGGGCACAUUGGACCUUAACCUUAUAUUGCAUGACAUGUGAUUGGUUGGUAGAGAUACACCAUUCCAAAUUCAGAAUUUUGUGAACGAGAAGUGGAGAGAGAAGUGGAAGAGGUCUUGCACCUCAUUUCAAGUUCCAUUUUCGUAUUCUAUGGACAGCUCUCACUAAUCUGAUCAUAACUCUCUGCUCAUAACUCCGAUUCAGGUGAUUCUCAAAUAUUUGGAUUCUACACGGAAUUCUCUUCGAUUUGGUAUAUUAUUUUGUUCUAAUAGCUUGUUUAUUUGUGGAGAAAAACGAGUUUGAAGUUGGAAGGUCCAUGCUGAACGUGUGUCAAAGAUUGGUUACGGGUUUGAUCAUGUUAGAGGUGAAGUUUUGGCAUCAAUAGAAGUUCAAUGGCUACAUGAUCAUCAUCCUAAUCUCUCUAAAUCUAAGGCGAGUCCUUAGAUAGAGACUAUGCGGUUUGCAUGUUGGGGUUUCUAUUUGGGGUUUAGGGAUUGUGAGCAAUUAUAAAUCAUUGAUGCUAGCUAUGUUUGAUUGCUUUAGUCCUUGCAUGUUAAUGUUCCUAAAUGUAUUUAUAUGAUGCAAUUUCGUUGGGACUGUUUUGCAAGUGUAGGGAAUCAAUUAUAGGGUGUUUGGAACUGGUUUAGAGCUUUUAAAAUGCAGAAAAUUGAUUCUGCUACAGGGUAUUCGUUUACGGGUCUUUGGGGUAACCGAUUACUCUGUUAAAAUGCAAUUUUGGACUGUUUUUAGUGCCAAUAAUCGGUUACUGAGUUUGGGUAAUCGGUUACCCUGGGCGCAGAGGAAAAAAAACCAGCAACUUUAGAAAUUCAUAACUUUUGCGUCGUAAGUCCGUUUCGCGCAAACUUUAUAUCGUUGGAAAGCUAGCGACGUGUACUUUCUAAUAAAAUUGGUCUCUAAACCAAAAUAUUUGAUUUAAGGGUUAAUGAACUUUUUCGUCCCUUUAAAUAUUUCAAAUUUCGUUUUUAGUCCCUCCAAAAUUUUCCUUCAAGAAAUCGUCCCUUCAAAAUUUUUCUUCCGAACUAUUGGUCCCUAACGUCAAAUUUCGUAGCUAAUCGGUGGCUAAAGUCGUAGCUAAUCUCUAGCAAAUUUGAUGUUAGGGACCAAUAGUUUAGACGAAAAUUUUUCAAGGGACGAUUUCUUAAAGGAAAAUUUUGGAGGGACUAAAAAUGAAAUAUGCAAUAUUUAGAGGGACUAAAAGGUUCAUUAACCCUUGAUUUAAUAAUAUAAGAAUCCUUCUUAGUGAGACUUGUCUAUCGAGUAUGUGUACAUACUAAGGUUUUAUAUGACCAUGGGUGUGUUAAUUUUGUUACAUGUGAAUUAUGUAUAGUUAGACUGAAUUAACUUCAUUAUUCUUAAUUUCUAUAUUAUGCUGAAAUGCGAAUUCUAUAUUUUGAUGAGAUAUGAACAUUCUAUUAAUGCCCGUUGUUUCGGUUAAACAAUUGGGAUUGUGUGCUUGCGUGUUUGGCGCUUGAUAUCUGUGAGGGC
This is a long non-coding RNA of Vicia villosa (hairy vetch), 6012 nucleotides long. RefSeq lists it as uncharacterized. The transcript is spliced from 3 exons. NCBI's taxonomy places the organism in Eukaryota, Viridiplantae, Streptophyta, Magnoliopsida, Fabales, Fabaceae. The record is from RefSeq and is a predicted model, not a curated record.